AACAAGCAGUGAUGAUCAUGACAUCAUGUCUUUAUCCUGAACCCCUGAUGGUACUAAGUCACUACCUCAUCUGAGCUUACA
This is a small nucleolar RNA of Solea solea (common sole), 81 nucleotides long. RefSeq annotates it as small nucleolar RNA SNORD11B. NCBI's taxonomy places the organism in Eukaryota, Metazoa, Chordata, Actinopteri, Pleuronectiformes, Soleidae. The record is from RefSeq and is a predicted model, not a curated record. The transcript has a single exon.